CGUUUAGCUCAGCUGGUUUAGAGCAUCUGCCUUACAAGCAGAGGGUCGGCGGUUCGAAUCCGUCAACGCCCA
RNAcentral lists this transfer RNA (72 nucleotides) under Leyella lascolaii. RNAcentral describes it as "tRNA-Val". It matches the Rfam family "tRNA". Rfam says of the family: Transfer RNA (tRNA) molecules are approximately 80 nucleotides in length. Their secondary structure includes four short double-helical elements and three loops (D, anti-codon, and T loops). Lineage: Bacteria; Pseudomonadati; Bacteroidota; Bacteroidia; Bacteroidales; Prevotellaceae. The record is from RNAcentral. RNAcentral also lists the same sequence under 1 other name.